Long non-coding RNA from Gallus gallus (chicken), 2926 nucleotides. Lineage: Eukaryota; Metazoa; Chordata; Aves; Galliformes; Phasianidae. The record is from Ensembl.
UCCCGCUCCGUGCGGGGCUCCGCGCUGCGCAGUGGCGGUGCCGCUGACGGGCGGCCGCGGCGCGGUGCCCUUAUUGGUUUGAAAUUCCAUUAAAUAUAUUGCAAGAGCGCCUAGGUUAAGCUUGAUUUAAAUUUGCAUACAUUUUCAUACAUUUAGCAGAAAUAAAAGAAGGCUUGCAGCUACCAGAAAGUCAUUAAGGCAUUAGUUUCCCCGAGAAGACAGAUCUGAAGAAAAUUCAAGAAAAUGGGAAAAUUGAUAGAAAGAAGGGAGAGAGGAGGGAGAGCCGCAGCAGCGCAGUGCCAUCGCAGAGCCGCAGCUGUGGCGGACGGACAGCUCGCAAAUGAACACUGUCCCAAUGUCAGAGCGGCCGCAGCCCCCACUGCCCCCGUUAGCACCGACCCCCCCGCGGCGGCGGGGCAGCGCCCGGAGCAGGGUAGGCAGGGACAAUGGGCGAGGCACGGGCAGAGAACCGCAAGGUGGAGCUGAAUACAAUGUCUGCAUUUGUGGCUAACUCCAAGCAAUACAUUAUGAAGAUGAUGUUAUUCAGACACACACCCAAACAAUUUGAUUCAGACAAAUUGGAUAUGAGACUUUGACCAGCAUGAGAAGAACAGUGUUUACGGUGAAAUGAUGGGGUCAACACUUCCUAGCAGCGUGGCCAACAGAUGUAGCGUGGAGAUGACAACUGUACAUUUUAGUGGUCUUUUGUUACCUCAGCACUGACUGAUGGCUGAGAGGCUGGAAGCCAGAAUGUCAAAGGCCAUCAGAUGUCCUGGCAGCCUCUAGAUCUCGUUUCUGUUAAGGGUUGAAAUGACAAAAAAAUGCCUUUUUUUGUGGUUGCAUGUAAAAUUGCCGUCAGCUUUUUGCAAUAGAAAGAGACCCUAAGAAGAAGCCCAUGUGUGCCUUUAGCAACUUAUUGUAGCUUGUGGACCAACUUCGGUCUAAAGAGCAAGAUUUAAGAGCGUCCAGGAUUCAUAUGUUUAAUAUUUGGAGAUUCAGUAGUUUUAUCUGACAGUCAAAGUAGCUAUUGAUAGAAAAAGAACAUGUACUAUGGCAUAAAAAUACUGCAUUAAAGUACUGACAAAAGAAUCUGUGGUGACUUUGCUGAGCUUUUGGCUGGUCUAAAUGCUUGGAAACUAUUUUUUUUCUUUAUGUCAGGAAAGCAACUGUUCAUACGCCAGGUGUUGCUCUCCCUCCUCUCCCAACCCCUCUCUUUUUCAAUAUCUCACAGCUGUAUGAUAGGUAAUUAAAACAAUCACCGACGUGUUUCAAAGCUGUUGUAGCCUUUAGUUGACUUUUAAAACUCUUAUUUGAAGAAGAAUGGUGAAAUUAAUUUGUAUCUGGCUCAGGAAAGUGCUCUUUACUUGAGCAAUGGACUUUACAACAUUGCCAACAAAAAGACUGAAAUUAAUAUUACUCUUGCCUUUAUCUAGGGUUAUUCUGUUAACUGUUUUAUACUGGAAAUUAAUUUCAAUAUCAGACAGGUGUCUACAAGCCAUGAAUGCAGCAGCUCCAGCAUACAGUCAGAUAGCUUCCUCUUCAUAAUCAUGGUAAAAAUAAUAAUUCGAAAGAAGUAAACUUGCCAGCACAAUUAAAUGAUUCUGCCUGUAGAUAAUGGAAGGAGGAAGUUUCAAAGAAUGGACUAUAAAAUGCAUAAGAUUAAAAAGUGUCAUUUAAAAAAGUGUUAUGUGGUUGUUUUGAAAAGAACUGUGAUUUUACAGGCUCAUCUUUCUACUGAGAAAAAUUACUGUGAGAUACAGAGACUUCGGGAUAGGUGUAUUUUUGAUGCUGAGAUGCUCUGCUGUUUUCUGUUGGGUUUUUGUGUGUGUGUGUUUCUUUUCUGUGCUUCAGCAGCUGGCUUUAUGAAACUUGUAAUUCAUUCAUUGUGCUUUCUCUAUGAGACAGGAUUUUAUUCUGAAAAUAAAUUUACUUCUAAUAUGUUCUUUUUGAUCGUUAAAAAAAAAAACCCUUUCAUCUUUACAAACGAUUGUGUUGUUACAUCCGUGUAAAGUGGACCAUGUAGCACAAGUGAACAGCAAAUCCAAUGAGCAAUGUGUAUAAAAUGUAGGAAUGUGAGCAAGAAAAGCAGUGCAUAACCUAAGAAUGAAGCAGAAAUUUAGUUUGGAAACACGUUUUAUUGUCUUACAGCCUUGUGAGACCCCAGUUAUUCACAUAAUUAUUGAUUAAGAAUGACUGCAUUUGCAGGAAAAUAUGUGCUUCAGAAAUAACCAAAAUAUGCGGUGGCACAUUUUAAGCUCCUCAUCUGGGUACACAGUUUGUAGGUACAGGCAGAAGCAUCCCUCAGCGGUCAGGCACAGGCUGGCUUUCCUCUCCUUGUUCUCAGAAGGAUAUCUGCCUCUCUUGGACUGCCCCACAAAAUUCCAUUUCUUCUUCCUCUUCGGAUUUGUCUCUUUGGAAAUGUAUAAUUCCAUGGCAUAGAUGUAAGCAGUGACAGCUGCAACACACGGAAAAUACAAGUUAGGAGUGGAAUUGGUUCUGGCUUAGAAAUCACUAAUUUUAGGAAAAACAUGCAGGAUGACAGCUUUUGCAUUUUCCCCAUUGGUUUGUGGGGGAAUCCUCACCUGGUGCACGCAUAGACGUACAUAUAGAGCAAGUGUUUUUAUUUAUGUAUGUCUAAAAAUCUGGAAGAUACCAGCUAACAGAGCGCAAACAAGAAAUACCAGCGCUGGCAAAUCCAAACCAGCAAAUAUCCAUUCUGACUUUUCCCCAUUAAUUUUAAAAUAAAUACCUCUUCCUGUUUGUACAAACAUUUCCUAUUUAUUAAAAACAGCAUUCCUCUUCUUUGCUCCUUUGUGAAUGUUUCUAACCACACACAAAACUGCAAAGAAAUACACAAAUGAGAAUAAAAUUAAGACUCAAACGCUAAUCUGCAUCUUUGCUACAGCACAACUCAAUUUGACAGUAU